This 207-nucleotide ribosomal RNA is filed under the name uncultured bacterium. RNAcentral's name for it is "partial 16S ribosomal RNA". It matches the Rfam family "Bacterial small subunit ribosomal RNA", at positions 568 to 774 of the family's 1533-position model. The record is from RNAcentral.
AGCGCAGACGGUUAUUUAAGCAAGAUGUGAAAGCCCCGGGCUCAACCUGGGAACUGCGUUUUGAACUGGGUAACUAGAGUGUGUCAGAGGGGGGUAGAAUUCCACGUGUAGCAGUGAAAUGCUUAGAGAUGUGGAGGAAUACCGAUGGCGAAGGCAGCCCCCUGGGAUAACACUGACGUUCAUGCUCGAAAGCGUGGGUAGCAAACA